This 88-nucleotide transfer RNA is filed under the name Gammaproteobacteria bacterium. RNAcentral's name for it is "tRNA-Ser". It matches the Rfam family "tRNA". Rfam says of the family: Transfer RNA (tRNA) molecules are approximately 80 nucleotides in length. Their secondary structure includes four short double-helical elements and three loops (D, anti-codon, and T loops). Lineage: Bacteria; Pseudomonadati; Pseudomonadota; Gammaproteobacteria. The record is from RNAcentral.
GGUGAGGUGUCCGAGUGGCCGAAGGAGCACGCUUGGAAAGCGUGUAAGGCGUAAGCCUUCGUGGGUUCGAAUCCCACCCUCACCGCCA